This is a long non-coding RNA of Anthonomus grandis grandis, 920 nucleotides long. RefSeq lists it as uncharacterized. The transcript has 3 exons. The record is from RefSeq and is a predicted model, not a curated record. Lineage: Eukaryota; Metazoa; Arthropoda; Insecta; Coleoptera; Curculionidae.
UUGAUUUAUCAAGUACGUGAAUAUCCUUGUAUUUAUGACUAUAAAAAUAAAGACUUUAAAGAUUACCAAAUUCGGGAAAAUGUAUGGAAAGAAAUUGCUGUAAUUUUAUCCAAGAAUCCCGAAGAAUGCAAAAUUCGCUGGAAAAAUAUUCGCGAUAAUUAUUUUAAAAAUAAAAGAAAGCAAAAGUUAGGAACUGGUUCGGCGGCAUCAUCCCGACCUACCAAGUGGACACUGUUGGAACUUUUGAAAUUUUUAGAAUUGGUGAAGACUGAACGAAGAAUUACAGAUAGAUAACGAAAUUGAUGACGUCGCAUCACCGGAAUCUAUCGAUUUGAAUAUACCUGCAAAAAGAUCAAAACCAAAUAUGGACACAAGUCGAUCAAAUACUCCCAGCAGUAAAUCAAACACUCCAUCACUAUCAGGAAGAUUUGUUAAAUCCACAACAGCAAAAUCAAAACUACUGCAAAAUUUAGAAGAAAAGUCAAAAGAGCGCAUGGAAAUGUAUUCGAAACUCGUAGAUAAUCAGAAUGAAGACGAAGUCGAUUUGUUUAUGAGGAGCAUGGCUCUAAUGUUAAAGAAAUUACCUCCUAAUUUAAUUAAUGAAGCAAAAUUAAAAAUUUUGACCAUAAUAACAAAUCUCCAGGCAUCAAUGACUAAUCUAGAGCAGCCACAAAAUCCCUGUUCACCAGCGCAAAUGACUUCAAGUCCUCAACAAGUGGUAUAUUUUCAAAUGCCAGGUCAGCUAGAAGAUAUUCCAAAUGAAUUAGUUAACACUCCUCAACCAUCAAGAUCUUCAGUGAACCCACAGGACAACUACACAACGAAAAACAAAUAUUUCCAACUAUGAAGAAUAUAUUUUUUUUAGAUACAGAAUUGUAUUGUUUGAGUUUUCUUGGUGAUAAUAAAUAGUGUUGUUCUCA